ACGGGAGGCAGCAGUGGGGAAUAUUGCACAAUGGGCGAAAGCCUGAUGCAGCGACGCCGCGUGAGGGAUGACGGCCUUCGGGUUGUAAACCUCUUUCAGCAGGGAAGAAGCGCAAGUGACGGUACCUGCAGAAGAAGCACCGGCUAACUACGUGCCAGCAGCCGCGGUAAUACGUAGGGUGCGAGCGUUGUCCGGAAUUAUUGGGCGUAAAGAGCUCGUAGGCGGCCUGUCGCGUCGGAUGUGAAAGCCCGGGGCUUAACCCCGGGUCUGCAUUCGAUACGGGCAGGCUAGAGUGUGGUAGGGGAGAUCGGAAUUCCUGGUGUAGCGGUGAAAUGCGCAGAUAUCAGGAGGAACACCGGUGGCGAAGGCGGAUCUCUGGGCCAUUACUGACGCUGAGGAGCGAAAGCGUGGGGAGCGAACAGGAUUAGAUACCCUGGUAGUCCACGCCGUAAACGUUGGGAACUAGGUGUUGGCGACAUUCCACGUCGUCGGUGCCGCAGCUAACGCAUUAAGUUCCCCGCCUGGGGAGUACGGCCGCAAGGCUAAAACUCAAAGGAAUUGACGGGGGCCCGCACAAGCAGCGGAGCAUGUGGCUUAAUUCGACGCAACGCGAAGAACCUUACCAAGGCUUGACAUAUGCCGGAAACGGCCAGAGAUGGUCGCCCCCUUGUGGUCGGUAUACAGGUGGU
Molecule: ribosomal RNA, 689 nt
Filed under: Streptomyces sp.
Lineage: Bacteria; Bacillati; Actinomycetota; Actinomycetes; Kitasatosporales; Streptomycetaceae
Description: bacterial SSU rRNA
Rfam family: Bacterial small subunit ribosomal RNA
Source: RNAcentral